GACAGAGGACCAAGGGUGCGGCUGGACCGCCAGGGCUCUGCUUAUCAAAGUGUCCUGUCUCCUCUCCCAGCCGGUGAGCUCUCCAGAGAGAGGACCAAGGCCUACCUUCAUCCUGGUGUUUGGAGCACAGAGACCCAGGUCCUGCACAGACCAGGAGCUCAGAAAGUAGCACCGAACCUAAGACUUGUCACGUGAGCCACGCGGGGGCCACAGGCUCUGAACUCAGCCAGACACAGACACGCUGGGGGCAUGGGAAGAGCAUUGCCUUCUGGGCAGUCCUUAGUCCAGGGCAGAAUCUGAGGACAGCAUCUCCAAGAUCCCUUUCCGAUGAAGCAACUACACAAUGCUUGACUUCCGAAGCAGCGUGUGUCUGCUUGCGCACGUGCAGGUGCUGUUCUGUUCGUUGGAGCCACAGCAGUGAACCAGAUGGACACAGUCCCCGCCUGCAGAGGGAGGAGUGUCACUGCAUGUUUGCAAACCUAGAGAUUCUGCAGAGAUGUGCUCUGAGCACCUGGGAUGUUCCAGGCCUUGAGAGGGAGAGGAGACUCCAUGAGGACUGGAGAUGCUCCAGUCCUCACCACUGCCUGGCUGGCUGUAAUGUGAAGGAAGGAGCACUAGGCGGUGACGUUGAGCCACAUUCAGCUUCAGCUCCUGCCUCUCACUCCAGACCCCCACACCUUCAAACUCUUCCAGAGUCUCAGGCUUCCCAGACCCCCAACUCCCAGACGCUUUUAGAUUUCAGACCCCAGAAUCCCUGUUCCCCUAAACUCCCACAUCCUUAAAUUCUGGAACCUCCAGAUCCAGUGACCCCCCCAGACACUAGAUUCCCAAAUCUAACCAUCCUAGAGCCCCAGACAAUAAGUCGCUGACCCUUUAAUGGCCCAAGGCUCCAUAAGUUCCUGCCCCCGCAAAUCCUCAGAUCCAGAUCCCCAGGCCCCCAGACCUCCCAGUUUCCCAGCACCUCCAGCCUUUCCAAAUCCCCAUCCUCAGACCCUAAGUCCCAAGAUCCUCAGAUCCCAGAUUCUACAAACCCUUACAAACUGUCCCCCAUCUUCAGAUCCUUCUAGACCUUUUAGAGCCCAGUUUCGCAGAACCAUCAGACCCCCCAGACACGUCCCCAAUCUCCUAGACUUCUAGACAUCCACACCUCUAUAAACAGUGAACACUUGCUUCUUCAAACUUACCCGAACCUACCAGAUCCCCUAGGUUCCCACACCAAGAUCCAGGUCUCCUAGCUGUUCCCCAAUUGCCAACAGAGGCUCUCGGGGGAAGAUUUGUGCUGGGGCAGUGGGUGCUGACCACCCCCUGAACUGGAAAAUGAGGUCUCUCCCUCACUUAGUGAGGGUCACGGCACCUAAGCUCACAAAGGCCACAGCCACAAGGGGUCCCGGCUUGCAGAAAUGAGCAAAACACGGCCUGGAAAAGGGAAGAAACUUACUCAGUACACCCAGGAUAUGAGUAGUUGGCACCCAGGCCCUUGGUUCCCGGCUCCUACA
This is a long non-coding RNA of Camelus dromedarius (Arabian camel), 1496 nucleotides long. RefSeq lists it as uncharacterized. The transcript has 3 exons. NCBI's taxonomy places the organism in Eukaryota, Metazoa, Chordata, Mammalia, Artiodactyla, Camelidae. The record is from RefSeq and is a predicted model, not a curated record.